ACGGGUGAGUAAUGUAUCGGAACGUGCCCAAUCGUGGGGGAUAACGUAGAGAAAUUUACGCUAAUACCGCAUACGAUCUAAGGAUGAAAGCGGGGGAUCGCAAGACCUCGCGCGAUUGGAGCGGCUGAUAUCAGAUUAGGUUGUUGGUGAGGUAAAAGCUCACCAAGCCGACGAUCUGUAGCUGGUUUGAGAGAACGACCAGCCACACUGGGACUGAGACACGGCCCAGACUCCUACGGGAGGCAGCAGUGGGGAAUUUUGGACAAUGGGCGCAAGCCUGAUCCAGCAAUGCCGCGUGCAGGAAGAAGGCCUUCGGGUUGUAAACUGCUUUUGUACGGAACGAAACGGUUCUUUCUAAUAAAGAGAGCUAAUGACGGUACCGUAAGAAUAAGCACCGGCUAACUACGUGCCAGCAGCCGCGGUAAUACGUAGGGUGCGAGCGUUAAUCGGAAUUACUGGGCGUAAAGCGUGCGCAGGCGGUUAUGUAAGACAGUUGUGAAAUCCCCGGGCUCAACCUGGGAAUUGCAUCUGUGACUGCAUAGCUAGAGUACGGUAGAGGGGGGAUGGAAUUCCGCGUGUAGCAGUGAAAUG
Molecule: ribosomal RNA, 591 nt
Filed under: Polaromonas sp. TDB-169
Lineage: Bacteria; Pseudomonadati; Pseudomonadota; Betaproteobacteria; Burkholderiales; Comamonadaceae
Description: bacterial SSU rRNA
Rfam family: Bacterial small subunit ribosomal RNA
Source: RNAcentral